Molecule: long non-coding RNA, 392 nt
Filed under: Populus tremula
Lineage: Eukaryota; Viridiplantae; Streptophyta; Magnoliopsida; Malpighiales; Salicaceae
Description: long non-coding RNA (PTRE_LNC003367)
Source: RNAcentral
GUCGGCGAUGAGAUCUGCUGCCGGCCGGUUGUUGUGGAAGAGAUCGAAGGGGGAAACUGACACCGUUGAUGGGGAAGGAGCCGCCGCUGCUGGCCGGAGAAGGAAACCGUGGGUCUGAGGCGAUGGGAACAGCCCUGCCCGUUCCCUGGUCGGUGGAGAGGAGCUGGGUCCGUCGGCUGUGAGCAGAAGCUGCCGCUGCUGGAGGAAGAAGGUAGACCGCUGGAGGGCAGAUCCUCCGGGGGGAAGAAGAAAAACAAAAUCAGAGGCAGGGGAUCGUCCGGGCAGUGGGGUUCGGUGAGAAAAAGGGAAAAAAUUUGAUGAGAGGCUGCUGUCUUGGUGAUCGGCUGGGGAGAGAUUGAAGAAGAGAAAAAAAUGAGUGGUUGUUUGGGGGG